CUCUUGAAGUCUUAGUGGCGCAGCUAACGCACUAAGUAGACCGCCUGGGGAGUACGGCCGCAAGGUUAAAACUCAAAUGAAUUGACGGGGGCCCGCACAAGCGGUGGAGCAUGUGGUUUAAUUCGACGCAACGCGAAGAACCUUACCUGGCCUUGACAUGCAGAGAACUUUCCAGAGAUGGAUUGGUGCCUUCGGGAACUCUGACACAGGUGCUGCAUGGCCGUCGUCAGCUCGUGUCGUGAGAUGUUGGGUUAAGUCCCGUAACGAGCGCAACCCCUAUCCCUAGUUGCUAGCAGUUCGGCUGAGAACUCUAGGGAGACUGCCGGUGACAAACCGGAGGAAGGUGGGGAUGACGUCAGGUCAUCAUGGCCCUUACGGCCAGGGCUACACACGUGCUACAAUGGUGCGUACAGAGGGCUGCAAACCCGCGAGGGGGAGCUAAUCUCACAAAACGCAUCGUAGUCCGGAUCGGAGUCUGCAACUCGACUCCGUGAAGUCGGAAUCGCUGGUAAUCGCGAAUCAGAAUGUCGCGGUGAAUACGUUCCCGGGCCUUGUACACACCGCCCGUCACACCAUGGGAGUGGAUUGCACCAGAAGUGGUUAGUCUAACCUUCGGGAGGACGAU
This 625-nucleotide ribosomal RNA is filed under the name uncultured bacterium. RNAcentral describes it as "bacterial SSU rRNA". It matches the Rfam family "Bacterial small subunit ribosomal RNA", at positions 829 to 1454 of the family's 1533-position model. The record is from RNAcentral.